UUAUCAAAUAUUGUGUACUUUAUAUUUGAAAACUGUUGAGAUUUUUUAAAUAUGAAAGUAUUUUUUUGCAUUUCGAAAGUUUUUCGUUCAAUACGAAAGUAUUUUUUAUCGGGUCUGAGAGUAAAUUUAAAAGUCCUUCUUUUCAACCCGAAAGUUGUGGAACUGUCAAAUCGCCAAAAUGAGGAAACCGAGGAAUUUGUUACAUGACAGUUACAGUGCGUGCGAGAGAAAGAGAGCAAAACAUGUUUACAUUUUUCACAAUGUGAACAAAUAGUUCGUUCAUUUGCGUUUUCUCCCAUGUUCGAAGCAAGUUUAAAUUCCUAGAAGUAAUGACGCAUGGACAUUUGCAUACUGUGUGGAAGUUGCUGUACGCCAGCUCGGUCCUUAAGUGGUCAAUCUUCUGCCAGUGAUCAAGAUGAUUCUACACACAAAGUUUCGGCGGUGAUGGCAGUUUUUUUAACCAGCGGUAAAUGAGCCUUUAAGUUCCCAAAAUGUGGCUGUUUUGGCUUCCGGCUUUAUGACAGAAUUGCCACUACGGGAAGCUACCGGAAGAUGAAGGAAAAAAAACCCACGAGUCGCUGGGUUAGUUCGGAAGCGGCUAGUAACUGCAUCCAUGGAUUACUCGUUUGAUUAGAACUUGAUGAUGAGAUGAUGAAAUAUUAAAAACAAUGAUUUAAGUCGAUGAAAUAAAAAGGAAAAAAAAACAAUUACGAUUUAUUUGGAUUAAAAAAGGAAAGGUGCAUAGAAUGGGUGCAAAGUUUUUUGAAAGAUAAAUUUUCGUGUGAAAAUAUUCCAUUCAAUAUUUCCACAGUUUGAUCGUUUGGAUUUGACAGUUCUACAGUUUUGUUUUGAAUGCUCAUACUUUUAAUUUGAAGAGUGGUAUGCAGCUUUUAAACCAUCGUUGUCGCAAAAGUUGGCGUACUUUUGUUUUAAACAUACUCAACUUUCUACGAAAAAGAACCAACGAAACUUUUUAAUUUAACCAAUGUUUUUUUUAAUUUCAUCAAUGAUUUUUCUUUCUGUG
Molecule: long non-coding RNA, 1024 nt
Organism: Armigeres subalbatus
Lineage: Eukaryota; Metazoa; Arthropoda; Insecta; Diptera; Culicidae
Exons: 4
Source: RefSeq, a predicted model, not a curated record